Molecule: ribosomal RNA, 253 nt
Filed under: uncultured bacterium
Lineage: Bacteria
Description: partial 16S ribosomal RNA
Rfam family: Bacterial small subunit ribosomal RNA
Source: RNAcentral
UACAGAGGGGGCAAGCGUUGUUCGGAAUUACUGGGCGUAAAGGGCUCGUAGGCGGCCAACUAAGUCGGACGUGAAAUCCCUCGGCUUAACCGGGGAACUGCAUCUGAUACUGGAUGGCUUGAGAUUGGGAGAGGGAUGCGGAAUUCCAGGUGUAGCGGUGAAAUGCGUAGAUAUCUGGAGGAACACCGGUGGCGAAGGCGGCAUCCUGGACCAACACUGACGCUGAGGAGCGAAAGCCAGGGGAGCAAACGGG